RNAcentral lists this ribosomal RNA (550 nucleotides) under uncultured bacterium. Its description in RNAcentral is "bacterial SSU rRNA". It matches the Rfam family "Bacterial small subunit ribosomal RNA", at positions 355 to 896 of the family's 1533-position model. The record is from RNAcentral.
UAGGGAAUCUUCCACAAUGGACGCAAGUCUGAUGGAGCAACGCCGCGUGAGUGAAGAAGGUUUUCGGAUCGUAAAGCUCUGUUGUUGGUGAAGAAGGAUAGAGGUAGUAACUGGCCUUUAUUUGACGGUAAUCAACCAGAAAGUCACGGCUAACUACGUGCCAGCAGCCGCGGUAAUACGUAGGUGGCAAGCGUUGUCCGGAUUUAUUGGGCGUAAAGCGAGCGCAGGCGGAAGAAUAAGUCUGAUGUGAAAGCCCUCGGCUUAAUCGAGGAACUGCAUCGGAAACUGUUUUUCUUGAGUGCAGAAGAGGAGAGUGGAACUCCAUGUGUAGCGGUGGAAUGCGUAGAUAUAUGGAAGAACACCAGUGGCGAAGGCGGCUCUCUGGUCUGCAACUGACGCUGAGGCUCGAAAGCAUGGGUAGCGAACAGGAUUAGAUACCCUGGUAGUCCAUGCCGUAAACGAUGAGUGCUAAGUGUUGGGAGGUUUCCGCCUCUCAGUGCUGCAGCUAACGCAUUAAGCACUCCGCCUGGGGAGUACGACCGCAAGGUUG